This 459-nucleotide ribosomal RNA is filed under the name uncultured bacterium. Its description in RNAcentral is "partial 16S ribosomal RNA". It matches the Rfam family "Bacterial small subunit ribosomal RNA", at positions 338 to 795 of the family's 1533-position model. The record is from RNAcentral.
CCUACGGGAGGCAGCAGUGAGGAAUAUUGGUCAAUGGCCGGGAGACUGAACCAGCCAAGUAGCGUGAAGGAAGACGGCCCUACGGGUUGUAAACCUCUUUUAUCAGGGAGCAAGGUGCGGGUCGUGAGCUGCUGUGAGAGUACCUCAAGAAUAAGCAUCGGCUAACUCCGUGCCAGCAGCCGCGGUAAUACGGAGGAUGCGAGCGUUAUCCGGAUUUAUUGGGUUUAAAGGGUGCGCAGGCGGAGGCACAAGUCAGCGGUAAAAUCCCGGGGCUCAACCCCGCUCCGCCGUUGAAACUGUGUCCCUGGAGUGCGCGAAGGGUAGGCGGAAUGCGUGGUGUAGCGGUGAAAUGCAUAGAUAUCACGAAGAACUCCGAUCGCGAAGGCAGCCUACCGGAGCGCAACUGACGCUCAUGCACGAAAGCGUGGGUAUCGAACAGGAUUAGAUACCCGAGUAGUC